UAAUACGAAGGGUGCAAGCGUUAAUCGGAAUUACUGGGCGUAAAGCGCGCGUAGGCGGUUUGGUUAGUUGGAUGUGAAAGCCCCGGGCUCAACCUGGGAACUGCAUCCAAUACUGCCAAGCUAGAGUACGGUAGAGGGGGGUAGAAUUCCACGUGUAGCGGUGAAAUGCGUAGAGAUGUGGAGGAAUACCAGUGGCGAAGGCGGCCCCCUGGAUCGAUACUGACGCUGAGGUGCGAAAGCGUGGGGAGCAAACAGG
This 256-nucleotide ribosomal RNA is filed under the name uncultured bacterium. RNAcentral describes it as "partial 16S ribosomal RNA". It matches the Rfam family "Bacterial small subunit ribosomal RNA", at positions 521 to 776 of the family's 1533-position model. The record is from RNAcentral.